CUACGGGAGGCACCAGUGGGGAAUAUUGCACAAUGGGCGCAAGCCUGAUGCAGCCAUGCCGCGUGUAUGAAGAAGGCCUUCGGGUUGUAAAGUACUUUCAGCGGGGAGGAAGGGAGUAAAGUUAAUACCUUUGCUCAUUGACAUUACCCGCAGAAGAAGCACCGGCUAACUCCGUGCCAGCAGCCGCGGUAAUACGGAGGGUGCAAGCGUUAAUCGGAAUCACUGGGCGUAAAGCGCACGCAGGCGGUUUGUUAAGUCAGAUGUGAAAUCCCCGGGCUCAACCUGGGAACUGCAUCUGAUACUGGCGAGCUUGAGUCUCGUAGAGGGGGGUAGAAUUCCAGGUGUAGCGGUGAAAUGCGUAGAGAUCUGGAGGAAUACCGGUGGCGAAGGCGGCCCCCUGGACGAAGACUGACGCUCAGGUGCGAAAGCGUGGGGAGCAAACAGGAUUAGAUACCCCUGUAGUC
This 464-nucleotide ribosomal RNA is filed under the name uncultured bacterium. RNAcentral describes it as "partial 16S ribosomal RNA". It matches the Rfam family "Bacterial small subunit ribosomal RNA", at positions 339 to 795 of the family's 1533-position model. The record is from RNAcentral.